Molecule: ribosomal RNA, 401 nt
Filed under: uncultured bacterium
Lineage: Bacteria
Description: bacterial SSU rRNA
Rfam family: Bacterial small subunit ribosomal RNA
Source: RNAcentral
GAUGAACGCUAGCGGCAGGCCUAAUACAUGCAAGUCAAGGGGAUAGCAAUAUCACCGGCGGACGGGUGCGUAACGCGUACACAACGUGCCCAAGGGCGGAGGAAAGCGGCGGGAAACUGCCGGUAAUACUCCAUGGUGUUGUUGAGUGGCAUCACUUAACAACUAAAGUACAAGCGCCCUUGGAUCGGUGUGCGUUCGAUUAGCUAGUUGGCGGGGUAACGCCCACCAAGGCUUCGAUCGAUAGGGGGUGUGAGAGCAUGACCCCCCCACACGGGUACGUGAGACACGGACCCGACUCCUACGGGAGGCAGCAGUAAGGAAUAUUGGACAAUGGGCGGAAGCCUGAUCCAGCCAUGCCGCGUGAAGGACGAAGGCGCUCAGCGUUGUAAACUUCUUUUGGA